Long non-coding RNA from Brienomyrus brachyistius, 1351 nucleotides. RefSeq lists it as uncharacterized. Lineage: Eukaryota; Metazoa; Chordata; Actinopteri; Osteoglossiformes; Mormyridae. The record is from RefSeq and is a predicted model, not a curated record. The transcript is spliced from 2 exons.
AUGAGGUGGAGCUGGAGGGUGCGAUCUGGUUGGGGCAUGGUAAUUUCAUUAACCUGGCUGCAACAAUUAAGCAAUCAGCACGCGUAUAUAGGACCCGGUUGUGGUUGCGUGUGUGACUGAUUUGCAAGCGUGACGUGACUCUCCGUGCGCUAGUAUCUCCUUUUCCGGAAGUUGUGGCUAUAUCCAACGCUGCAGGUAGGGCAUCAGUGGACGGGGUCGUUUGCUUGCCGUAUGGGUGGUUGUAAUGUGCUUUUGGUAUCUUUCUUACAGUUGCAAGGGCGUAGUAAAUCUAGCAGCUUGCGGUUGCUUCCGCUUUUAAGGCUUUCCAACUUUUACCGCGUGUAAUCUGCCAGUGGAUCGCGACUUGGAGUGUCCCGGACCGAUGUGAGCCAGACCAUCAACGGGAUACUAAGUCACUACAAUUGCUGCUGUUUUGCCCGGAUGUUUUAUGUUUUGUUUCAUGUUUUAAUUGGUUUUAAGUAUUUAUGUGUUUUAUUUAUUGGGGGGUGUCGUUGGGAAGGUGUGGUGCUGGGCGGUGAGGAUCCGUGUCGGGCGAUACCGCGCUGCGUGGUCGCGUUGCGUUCUUUUAGCCCACCCCUUGGGUGGAUGUACGGCGGGACCCCUUAGAGUGUUGUCUGACUGUACGCCUCCCAUUCCCCUCCCGAUAACAGCUGCCUGGUUUGGGUUUCCUCUUUUGUCGUAUGAUUGGAGUGUUUUAACCAUGAUUUGAUGUGUAUUAUUUGUGCUGUGGUUUUUGUUUAGUAAUUUGCUGUUUGGUUUAUUGGUGUUUUUAUUUUGAGUGUUAAUAGCCAGCAGCCUAAUAAAGGGAGUGUUUAUGGUCUUCGCGUCUCCCCUAUGGUGAUCACGAAUCUGUGUCCUUUUAUAUUGGAGUGGGUUUUGAACUCCGGUAUUCUAAUUCUCUGGGUGAAAUUCCCAGAGUGGCGUAGUCGGCUUGUCCAUUUCCGUAUUCCCUCGCUACUUCCUCCCUCAGUAACGCCACACACUGAUACUGCACAAAUGUGUUUGAAGAUGAAGCCCUUGACAGUCUUACCUUUUGUUCCUGCACUUUUGUUAACCAACCACAGCUGCCUUGUGUUUACUCCUCUGUUAGUCAUGUAUAUUAGCGUCUCUCCGUCCUGUGCUCCCUGCUCACUCAUUGUUCUCUGUCUGUGUGUGAGAUCUUGCCUUUUCCAUGCAAAUAAACACCCCUGCAGCACCCUGAUACACCCUGCAUGCGGCUCGUCCUUCUCCCACUGCCUACGUGCCAUCCACAGGUACUUUCUUUGACAAAAAUUAUAUAAUUGAUUUUUGCCUCCAUACCGUAUAAUAAAAAUCUUUUUAUAAAUGGCAA